UGGGGAAUAUUGCACAAUGGGCGCAAGCCUGAUGCAGCAACGCCGCGUGAGGGACGACGGCCUUCGGGUUGUAAACCUCUUUUAGUAGGGAAGAAGCGAAAGUGACGGUACCUGCAGAAAAAGCACCGGCUAACUACGUGCCAGCAGCCGCGGUAAUACGUAGGGUGCGAGCGUUGUCCGGAAUUAUUGGGCGUAAAGAGCUCGUAGGCGGUCUGUCGCGUCUGCUGUGAAAACCCGAGGCUCAACCUCGGGCCUGCAGUGGGUACGGGCAGACUAGAGUGCGGUAGGGGAGAAUGGAAUUCCUGGUGUAGCGGUGGAAUGCGCAGAUAUCAGGAGGAACACCGAUGGCGAAGGCAGUUCUCUGGGCCGUAACUGACGCUGAGGAGCGAAAGCGUGGGGAGCGAACAGGAUUAGAUACCCUGGUAGUCCACGCCGUAAAACGUUGGGCGCUAGAUGUGGGGACCAUUCCACGGUUUCCGUGUCGCAGCUAACGCAUUAAGCGCCCCGCCUGGGGAGUACGGCCGCAAGGCUAAAACUCAAAUGAAUUGACGGGGUCAUAGCUGUUUCCU
Molecule: ribosomal RNA, 569 nt
Filed under: uncultured bacterium
Lineage: Bacteria
Description: partial 16S ribosomal RNA
Rfam family: Bacterial small subunit ribosomal RNA
Source: RNAcentral